This 397-nucleotide ribosomal RNA is filed under the name uncultured bacterium. RNAcentral describes it as "partial 16S ribosomal RNA". It matches the Rfam family "Bacterial small subunit ribosomal RNA", at positions 523 to 918 of the family's 1533-position model. The record is from RNAcentral.
AUACGUAGGUGGCAAGCGUUGUCCGGAAUUAUUGGGCGUAAAGCGCGCGCAGGCGGUCCUUUAAGUCUGAUGUGAAAGCCCACGGCUCAACCGUGGAGGGUCAUUGGAAACUGGGGGACUUGAGUGCCGAAGAGGAAAGUGGAAUUCCAAGUGUAGCGGUGAAAUGCGUAGAGAUUUGGAGGAACACCAGUGGCGAAGGCGACUUUCUGGUCUGUAACUGACGCUGAGGCGCGAAAGCGUGGGGAGCAAACAGGAUUAGAUACCCUGGUAGUCCACGCCGUAAACGAUGAGUGCUAAGUGUUAGGGGGUUUCCGCCCCUUAGUGCUGCAGCUAACGCAUUAAGCACUCCGCCUGGGGAGUACGGUCGCAAGACUGAAACUCAAAUGAAUUGGCGGGG